Molecule: ribosomal RNA, 671 nt
Filed under: Acinetobacter johnsonii
Lineage: Bacteria; Pseudomonadati; Pseudomonadota; Gammaproteobacteria; Moraxellales; Moraxellaceae
Description: bacterial SSU rRNA
Rfam family: Bacterial small subunit ribosomal RNA
Source: RNAcentral
CACAUGCAAGUCGAGCGGGGAAGUAUAGCUUGCUAUACGACCUAGCGGCGGACGGGUGAGUAAUGCUUAGGAAUCUGCCUAUUAGUGGGGGACAACAUUCCGAAAGGAAUGCUAAUACCGCAUACGCCCUACGGGGGAAAGCAGGGGAUCUUCGGACCUUGCGCUAAUAGAUGAGCCUAAGUCAGAUUAGCUAGUUGGUGGGGUAAAGGCCUACCAAGGCGACGAUCUGUAGCGGGUCUGAGAGGAUGAUCCGCCACACUGGGACUGAGACACGGCCCAGACUCCUACGGGAGGCAGCAGUGGGGAAUAUUGGACAAUGGGCGAAAGCCUGAUCCAGCCAUGCCGCGUGUGUGAAGAAGGCCUUUUGGUUGUAAAGCACUUUAAGCGAGGAGGAGGCUACCGAGAUUAAUACUCUUGGAUAGUGGACGUUACUCGCAGAAUAAGCACCGGCUAACUCUGUGCCAGCAGCCGCGGUAAUACAGAGGGUGCGAGCGUUAAUCGGAUUUACUGGGCGUAAAGCGUGCGUAGGCGGCUUUUUAAGUCGGAUGUGAAAUCCCUGAGCUUAACUUAGGAAUUGCAUUCGAUACUGGGAAGCUAGAGUAUGGGAGAGGAUGGGUAGAAUUCCAGGUGUAGCGGUGAAAUGCGUAGAGAUCUGGAGGAAUACCGAUGGC